This 253-nucleotide ribosomal RNA is filed under the name uncultured bacterium. RNAcentral describes it as "partial 16S ribosomal RNA". It matches the Rfam family "Bacterial small subunit ribosomal RNA", at positions 524 to 776 of the family's 1533-position model. The record is from RNAcentral.
UACGAAGGGGGCGAGCGUUGUUCGGAUUUACUGGGCGUAAAGGGCGCGCAGGCGGCCGCAUUUGUCAGGCGUGAAAGCCCCGGGCUUAACCUGGGAACUGCGUUUGAUACGGUGUGGCUAGAGUUCGGGAGAGGAGAGUGGAAUUCCCAGUGUAGAGGUGAAAUUCGUAGAUAUUCGCAAGAACACCAGUGGCGAAGGCGGCUCACUGGCCCGGUACUGACGCUGAGGUGCGAAAGCGUGGGGAGCAAACAGG